GCAGGCUGCAACCCGCCUGCAUGAAGUUGGAAUCGCUAGUAAUCGCGGAUCAGCAUGCCGCGGUGAAUACGUUCCCGGGCCUUGUACACACCGCCCGUCACACCAUGAGAGUCGGGAACACCCGAAGUCCGUAGCCUGACCGCAAGGAGGGCGCGGCCGAAGGUGGGUUCGAUAAUUGGGGUGAAGUCGUAACAAGGUAAC
RNAcentral lists this ribosomal RNA (201 nucleotides) under uncultured bacterium. Its description in RNAcentral is "partial 16S ribosomal RNA". It matches the Rfam family "Bacterial small subunit ribosomal RNA", at positions 1300 to 1500 of the family's 1533-position model. The record is from RNAcentral.